Molecule: long non-coding RNA, 384 nt
Organism: Rhipicephalus sanguineus (brown dog tick)
Lineage: Eukaryota; Metazoa; Arthropoda; Arachnida; Ixodida; Ixodidae
Exons: 3
Source: RefSeq, a predicted model, not a curated record
GAAGUGCCCCUCAGCCUCAAAAGGCACAAAAAAGUGUCCCACUUCUCGAGCAAGCACAACAGUCCCCUACAGAUCUGUGGGAGGAUGGCCAAGACCUUAAUGGUUUGGAUUACGAAGUUGAACCGUCACACACAGCCCCCACACCACCACCACCAGCACACAUGGACACUACAUCCAAGCCUGCUGCAGACGCACUCCCCAAAGCUGCAUACCCAAAAGCCCACACUCCUUUUACUGACAUUGGUGAUGGCAAGGUAAGUGCACGACUGUGUUCCCUUCAUUUCUUUUUUAAAGAUUUUGUUUUCAUUUACAGUAUCACGUGAAAGAUGGCCUCAUGAUUGGAAGCAAGCAGGCGGAAAAAAUCCUGGGCCAUAAAAAACCUCC